CCUACGGGGGGCAGCAGUGGGGAAUAUUGGGCAAUGGAGGCAACUCUGACCCAGCAACGCCGCGUGAAUGAUGAAGGUCUUCGGAUUGUAAAGUUCUGUGAUGGGGGAUGAACACCAUGACGGUACCCCACUAGCAAGCCACGGCUAACUACGUGCCAGCAGCCGCGGUAAUACGUAGGUGGCAAGCGUUAUCCGGAAUGACUGGGCGUAAAGGGUGCGUAGGUGGUUUAGUAAGUUGGCGGUGUAAUUCCGGGGCUCAACCUCGGCGCUACCGCCAAAACUAUUAGACUAGAGUGCAGGAGGGGUAAGUGGAAUUCCUAGUGUAGCGGUGGAAUGCGUAGAUAUUAGGAAGAACACCGGUGGCGAAGGCGGCUUGCUGGACGGUAACUGACGUUGAGGCUCGAAAGCGUGGGGAGCAAACAGGAUUAGAUACCCUUGUAGUC
RNAcentral lists this ribosomal RNA (443 nucleotides) under uncultured bacterium. RNAcentral describes it as "partial 16S ribosomal RNA". It matches the Rfam family "Bacterial small subunit ribosomal RNA", at positions 338 to 795 of the family's 1533-position model. The record is from RNAcentral.